RNAcentral lists this ribosomal RNA (261 nucleotides) under uncultured bacterium. RNAcentral's name for it is "partial 16S ribosomal RNA". It matches the Rfam family "Bacterial small subunit ribosomal RNA", at positions 91 to 354 of the family's 1533-position model. The record is from RNAcentral.
ACGAGUGGCGGACGGGUGAGUAAUGUCUGGGAAACUGCCCGGUGGGAGGGGGAUAACUACUGGAAACGGUAGCUAAUACCGUAUAACGUCGCAAGACCAAAGAGGGGGACCUUCGGGCCUCUUGCCACCGGAUGUGCCCAGAUGGGAUUAGCUUGUUGGUGAGGUAACGGCUCACCAAGGCGACGAUCCCUAGCUGGUCUGAGAGGAUGACCAGCCACACUGGAACUGAGACACGGUCCAGACUCCUACGGAAGGCAGCAG